This 203-nucleotide long non-coding RNA is filed under the name Lathyrus oleraceus (garden pea). RNAcentral describes it as "Pisum sativum (pea) long non-coding RNA (PSAT_LNC024259)". The record is from RNAcentral. Lineage: Eukaryota; Viridiplantae; Streptophyta; Magnoliopsida; Fabales; Fabaceae.
AUCGCAACGAGGGCGAAAGAAACAAGGAUUAGUUGUUAGUCGUUAGUCAAACUCGGCAAGACAUCGCGUCUUGUGCCUACGUAUCUCAUCUGAACAUGAGAAUCAGAGUUGCCGAGUUCGGCUAACACGCACACAAACAAACACAGGCAAACGUGGAGCCUGACUGCCAAUCACUGGACUUACAUCAGCAUCCGAACCAAAAC